This 46-nucleotide ribosomal RNA is filed under the name Grifola sordulenta. Its description in RNAcentral is "partial 25S ribosomal RNA". The record is from RNAcentral. Lineage: Eukaryota; Fungi; Basidiomycota; Agaricomycetes; Polyporales; Grifolaceae. RNAcentral also lists the same sequence under 4 other names.
CUGACCUCAAAUCAGGUAGGACUACCCGCUGAACUUAAGCAUAUCA